This is a long non-coding RNA of Eurytemora carolleeae, 1035 nucleotides long. RefSeq lists it as uncharacterized. The record is from RefSeq and is a predicted model, not a curated record. Lineage: Eukaryota; Metazoa; Arthropoda; Copepoda; Calanoida; Temoridae. The transcript has 2 exons.
CAUUAGUAUUAUUAUUAUUAUACUUAGGUACUGCUUGAAGAGGUAGGGAGAAAGCUACGUGAGUUGACCCCUGCUGACCUGGAGGAUGGUGUACGGCUGGUGAUAGCGGCCCGGUCAGAUUAUAAAGUCUGGAAAUCCGGACUAGACAACGCGUACAGGAAUUUUAUUGCCUCUGAUCCUACCCCACCUCUGCAAGCAGUUUUACUAUCCAUCCUGUAAAAUAUAAAUAUCUCAGUUUAUUUUAUAGAGGCUCAAAGCAAUAAGCUUUCACGGGAAAAAUUAUGUGCUUUUUUUAAAUAUUCAUCUUAUACAUCGUUCAUUCAUAUUUUUCAGCCCUUUUUUGGCCAGGAUAGGCAGAUUGUCAUGAAUAUCAUGUUGAAAUCACAAUGAAUGAAAAACAAAAAACCCCGGUCCAAAAUAAGUUAACUAGAGAAGUCGGCAGCUUAAUUUUGUAAUGAUAUGCAUUUCUAAGUGUUUACACAAAUUAGGUCUGUUUAUCAAAAUAUAUUUUAGUUUAUUAAAAAAAGUUCAACAAUUUUCAUUUGAUUUUUGUUGUAGAAUUUUUAGCAGAAUUUUUGGGUCUGCUCACGUAAUUUCAAGUGACCCUUCUUGCGCAUUUGUACUAAAGGACAACCAUGGAAAAAUUAUCCAAAUUUAACUCCCUUUAAAACAUAAAAACAACGUUAUCUUUCACAUUAUUGAUCAGAUAAAUAAAUUAAGGCUACUCGAAAGUUACUUUAAUCUCAAUUUGACCUUGUUCUAUUUUUACCUCCUUCACAAAGUACUUUAUCAAACAAUGCAAAAAAAAUAGGUUAAAGAACACAUUUUCUUUGGUGUACGCAAAAAACUUUGUUAUUUAUUCCUGAUUGUACUUUUCACUUUAUCAGUUGCAGCUUUUUUUUUACUGUUAAAGGCAUUCAAUAUGUUUUUCUUGCCUUUCAGACGUGAUCACAUUUUUGUAGAGUUGUUUAAUGUUAAAAUUCUAAAAAUUGUUAUAUUUUUAUAUUUAAAAUUGGAAUAAACUUUAACAUCUUU